Molecule: long non-coding RNA, 1163 nt
Organism: Papaver somniferum (opium poppy)
Lineage: Eukaryota; Viridiplantae; Streptophyta; Magnoliopsida; Ranunculales; Papaveraceae
Exons: 10
Source: RefSeq, a predicted model, not a curated record
UCUCAGCCUAUCUUCUCUUCCUCUCAGCCGAUAAAACUGGAUCGAGUUUGAUGAAUCAGUUUCGAUUCAGUUUCUUCAUCAUCUAUGAUAGGAUUUAUAGGGAUUUAUAAAUCGAUUUUAGGGUUUCAGUCUGUAUUAUGAUUCGAUUUUAGUUUGUUCGUCGGAGUUCGCACUUGGAAAAACUGAUCUUCACUCUCAGCUAAUCGUGAGAAAGCAUCUGUUCUACUUUGUUUAAUUUAGAUGCAGAUGGGAAUGAAGUUGAUAAGUUAACUGAGAAGCUACAAGGGGUUGGGAUUGGCUCUGGAUUGCUUCUGGUAGUGCUGAGGGUGAUGUUCUAACUACUUCUAAGUUCAGGUUAAGAAGUAGAGGGAGUGGUCAGUUUUGUGUGGAUGAUGCAUUUGGAAGGGGCUUGAUUGAGUGAUACUGAGAUUAGCAGAAAGAGAAGUUUGCUGGGAAGGCUUAAUGUCGUAUAAGCAAUUUAUUCAAGAGCUUGAAGAUGACAUACUGCCGGCUGAAGCUGAGCGCAGGUAUCAGGAAUACAGAUCAGUGUACAUUUCUACACAGAAACGUACUUUCUUUGAUGCACACAAGGAUGACGAGUGGCUGAAAGACAAAUAUCACCCAACAAAUUUAGUAUCAGUUAUUGAAAGGAGAGAUCAGUUUAGGGGUCUUUGACAAAGAUAGAUCUCAUGGAUAAGGGUACUGACACUGUUGAUGGAGUGGGAGUAUUAUGCAAGUACCCUUGAUAGGUGGUGCUCUCCAUGUUCGUGCAUUAUUCCAAGAUGCUAAGAAAAAGGUUCCUGAUAGUGGGUCAUCGAAUUACAACAUCAAUGGAGUGAAGCAUAACACUAAUCUGACAUGUGGGAUAAAUCUGGGAUCGAUGGUGACACUGAGAAUAUCAGCUCGUUUGGUGGAAUACCUUCUAUCAAGAAAGGGUUUGAAUAUCCUUCGGCAUGGAAGUCCCUUGGCUUAUGAACUAUCUUUGAACUGACUGGCAUCUAUGAUUGUUGCUUUUCUAUGUUGUAAGUUUUAUAAGUUACAAUGUAGGAAUUUUCUAUGAACUCAGCAAGUUUUUUAACUUAGAAUUUGAUACUUACAAGAAUUUUGGUAACUUAGAAGAAUUUUUCUUAUUUUUUGAUUGAAAGCCAUAUGAAUUGACUGAA